AUACGUAGGUGGCAAGCGUUAUCCGGAUUUACUGGGUGUAAAGGGCGCGUAGGCGGGGAUGCAAGUCAGAUGUGAAAUCUAUGGGCUUAACCCAUAAACUGCAUUUGAAACUGUAUCUCUUGAGUGCUGGAGAGGUAGACGGAAUUCCUUGUGUAGCGGUGAAAUGCGUAGAUAUAAGGAAGAACACCAGUGGCGAAGGCGGUCUACUGGACAGUAACUGACGCUGAGGCGCGAAAGCGUGGGGAGCAAACAGGAUUAGAUACCCUGGUAGUCCACGCUGUAAACGAUGAAUACUAGGUGUAGUGGGUAUCGACUCCCUCUGUGCCGCAGGUAACACAAUAAGUAUUCCGCCUGGGGAGUACGGCCGCAAGGUUGAAACUUAAAGGAAUUGACGGGG
This 397-nucleotide ribosomal RNA is filed under the name uncultured bacterium. RNAcentral's name for it is "partial 16S ribosomal RNA". It matches the Rfam family "Bacterial small subunit ribosomal RNA", at positions 523 to 918 of the family's 1533-position model. The record is from RNAcentral.